GUCUGUUAGUUAGUGAGCAAAUUCAAAUAUUUUUUCAUAUCUCACAGUUUUUGUGAUCCUAAUGUGAAAUUAUUGUCUUCCGAAGGAAAAGCAAUGCUGAAAAUCAGACUAACACGAUAUUUUUUAUAUGGGAAAGAUUUGCACUCAAAACGUAUCUACAAAUUUGUCAUUAUUAUUUAAUAGAAUGUAUAAUAAAAGACGUUGACGGGGCAGUUGUAAGUUAAACAAUAAAUUUACCAGGUAUUAUAUAAAUUAUUUAAUUAAAUUAAAAUUAGGAUAACGAUCAUUCUGCAGGUUAAAAUUUAUUCUGGAACAGCACAUCUAAAGGACCUAGAGCAACUGUUUCAGGCAAAUUAAAGUUAUCGUCAAGUUAUGGAAGACACAUCAAUGUUACCAUCGAUGAACAUGAAGUCUGAGAAGUCUCUGCUGGAUCCAUCUUGAAUCGCAAUCCAUUUGAAAACAAAUAUGAAACUUGAGCAGACAACUCUUAAAUUGAAAAAAGAUUUGAAGAGUACCUGAUGCCUACAAUGUAAAAGCAGCCAACGUUCCCAUAUGAAAGUGUCAUCAAAGAUAUGGAUGGAAAGGGUCAAUUUCAUCACUUUUCAAUAUCUUGAUGUUUGUUUUGUUGAAAAUAUAAAAAAACUAUUAAAAAUGAAUACACUAAACCGAAUGACAUUUAUGUUAGUUGGGAUAUCAUUUUAAUAUAGAAUAAAAGUUCCAAAACUGUAGCAUCUUAUUAGUAGUUUUACAUAAAUGAAAGUAAGUGUGUUAAUAAUUCGAAAAUUAUUCCAACGGUUAGAAAAUUUAGGAAAAUUGGAACAUAUCAUAGAAAACGAACCGAAUUGUUUUUGAAAGUGAUUUAUUAGAGAACCGAUUAAUCAACCGAAAACUCUUAAAUUAUCAGGAGAUAAAGCAUGGUGGAAUGUGAGUAUGGAUUACAUUUUCUGAUUCAUUUAGUAUCAAACUGAAAACAAAAUUUCGAAAUGGAAGAUGCCGAUUGUGCGAUUUAUGGGAGUUACACCUUCUUGCAUUGCUUACUUACGAUGGACUGUUAUUGAUUUUACUCGAAUGAAAUCAACAUGCAUUUGUUAGAGUGCAGCCUUAAAUUGGAUCCAAUAGAGCAGCACCUCUGGGAUGUUGUAAAAAUAUUAGUUUGGUAUCUUUAUCCUUUUCCAACGAGACUCCUGAAGUUGGAGGGUGUUAUUUUAUUUUUCAAGGGGAAAACAUUACUUAAACAACCAUCCAACACUCGAUAAAAAGUUUCCAGAAUUGGAGGUAAUAUAGGAGUUCGAGAAGUUAUCAAUAGUCUUAUAUACGACUGGUAAUUUACUAAUUAAUUGUUAGGGGUUGUUGCUGAAUGAAAUGUUGGGUAAGUUUCAAUCAAUAAUCCUUUUAGAACAAAUACAAAUCACAUUACUGAAUUUAAUUUUUAUGGGAAUAAGAAAUUUUAUUUUUAUGAUUUUAUUUAAUGGUCAAAUUUCAUAUAAUUCUGAAAGUUUAAUUUAUAUGAUCAUAUCACACGAAUGGAUAAUUUUAAAGUACCGAAAAAGAUAUCGAGAGAGAGGUAAAGAGAAUAAAGAAAGAACAAAGAAGAAA
Long non-coding RNA from Diorhabda sublineata, 1596 nucleotides. RefSeq lists it as uncharacterized. The record is from RefSeq and is a predicted model, not a curated record. The transcript is spliced from 3 exons. Lineage: Eukaryota; Metazoa; Arthropoda; Insecta; Coleoptera; Chrysomelidae.